UCCUACGGGAGGCAGCAGUGGGGAAUAUUGCACAAUGGGGGAAACCCUGAUGCAGCGACGCCGCGUGAAGGAAGAAGUAUUUCGGUAUGUAAACUUCUAUCAGCAGGGAAGAAAAUGACGGUACCUGACUAAGAAGCCCCGGCUAACUACGUGCCAGCAGCCGCGGUAAUACGUAGGGGGCAAGCGUUGUCCGGAUUUACUGGGUGUAAAGGGAGCGUAGGCGGCGAUGCAAGUCAGAAGUGAAAGCGCGAGGCUCAAGUCCGGGACUGCUGUUGAAACUGAAUGGCUAGAUUGCA
Molecule: ribosomal RNA, 296 nt
Filed under: uncultured bacterium
Lineage: Bacteria
Description: partial 16S ribosomal RNA
Rfam family: Bacterial small subunit ribosomal RNA
Source: RNAcentral